CCAAGCCCCAAGCUCAGCUGGUGAGAAAAGCUUGUUGCGAGCCAGCAAAUGGAAGAGAAAAUCCUUUACCUGCAACACUAUCCUGCACCUGGGGUUUCCGCCCGGGACCGGGGAGGUUUCUGGGGGCCCGGACCGCGUGGUGCCACAGCUGCUCCCAGGCUGCUGCCCGGACCCGGACGGGCGACGGGCUGUGCAGGGGACACCUUGCACCCAUGGAUGCGAUGUGGGAGUGGAGGACCCCUCGUGCUGCCUCUCGCCCAGACAACCCGCGAUGCCCACAGGAGGGUGCCGGAGCAACACCGCGGAUGGCGAUGUUUUGAUGACACGUUUCUCCGCUCUAUAGUUGAUAGGGCUGAAAAGACUUGCUGGUUUAGUCCUUUACUCGAAGUACAAUAGGAAAAAGUAAUUAAUAGCCUGACAGUUGUGUUUCACAAUAAACAAGCUGCUGGCAUAUUUUUUUUCCUGCUG
RNAcentral lists this long non-coding RNA (468 nucleotides) under Anser brachyrhynchus (Pink-footed goose). RNAcentral's name for it is "lncRNA (ENSABRG00000002680.1)". Lineage: Eukaryota; Metazoa; Chordata; Aves; Anseriformes; Anatidae. The record is from RNAcentral.